CUUAAGCCGGGUUAAGAGUUUAGCCAUAUUAUAUCUCAUAUAUAGGACUAUCUGGGGUCUCACAAUCUCCCCUCCUUUAAGCCUUGACGUCCUCGUCAGGCUCAGACUCACAAGUAUCAGGCGAUGUGAGACUCAUCUCGCUAGCCCGUCAUCCAGACCCUGGCUCAGCUGAGACUCAUCUCACACUUCCGACUGGUAAUUGGCUCUGAUACCAUCUGUGACGCCCCGACUUCCCAGGAGGUCACCCAUCCUAGGACUACUCCCGUCCUAGCACGCUUAACUCUCUUAACCUCUUGGGUCUUGCCACCACCCAAAAUGCUUAAGCCGGGUUAAGAGUUUAGCCCUAUUAUAUCUCAUAUAUAGGACUAUCUGGGGUCUCACAAUCUCCCCUCCUUUAAGCCCUGACGUCCUCGUCAGGCUCAGACUCACAAGUACCAGGCGAUGUGAGACUCAUCUCGCUAGCCCGUCAUCCGAACCCUGGCUUAGCCGAGACUCAUCUCACACUUCCGGCUGGUAAUUGGCUCUGAUACCAUCUGUGACGCCCCAACUUCCCAGGGGGGUCACCCAUCCUAGAACUACUCCCGUCCUAGCACGCUUAACUAUUGGGGUUGUUAUUGGAUUUAUAAGAGACUUAGACACUAGUAAUAAUAACUGGGCUUAAGCAUUUUGGGCCGGUGGUUGGGCCCAACGAGUUGGGGUUGUCAUUGGGUUUAUAAGAGACUUAGACACUAGUAAUAAUAACUGGGCUUAAGCAUUUUGGGCCGGUGGUUGGGCCCAACGAGUUAUUAUUGCUAGUGGGCUGGAUCGUUACAGUUGGUAUCAAAGCCGGUUCACCAGCUGGACAUGUGUUGCGAGUCUUGGCUGAGUCAGGGUCUGGAUGACAGGCUAGCGAGACGAGUCUCACAUCGCCUGGUGAUCUUGGGCUAUGUGUAUGAUUGGACUGACGAGGACGUCAAGGCCUUAACGGGGGGAGUCUGUGACGCCCCAACUUCCCAGGGAGGUCACCCAUCCUAGGACUACUCCCGUCCUAGCACGCUUAACUCUCUUAACCUCUUAGGCCUUGCCACCACCAAAAAUGUUUAAGCCGGGUUAAGAGUUUAGCCCUAUUAUAUCUCAUAUAUAAGACCUGUCACGGGUCGAUUGUUGGGACUCGACCGUGACACCUUCGGGGGCCAUAUUUGGUAGGCACUUGGGUUGACGAAGUUAUGGAGUUGCGGAGUUGAGGCGUUCCGUCAGGUAGGAGUCGCCGUCAAGUCAACGAAGGCAAUUCCCUAGCAAUGGCCCGUGCCAUGACAUGGAAAUAGGUGCCGCAUGCGGGGUUGGAAAACGUACCCCUCGGUGAGCACCUUCGUACCCCCGAGGUGCCAAAGGAGUGGAUGCCUCGUAAGGGUACUAGAGGAGGGGUGGACACUUCGUAAGUGGCCCUCGACUCCCAUAGGUUCGCCUCAUAAGGCCCCAUACAAACGAACCGGCCUCGCUCCGCAUCGCUAGCCACUGGCCCCUCCUUGGCUCGACCACGCCUGGCCGCUUACACCAUUGGUCCAGUCUCUCAAGGUUCACUAUACGGAUACCGAUACCGCUCGCCUCCUUGGGUUUCGCCCCUCGAGUCUCGUAGGCUACCCACCAGGCGAUGUAAGACUCAUCUCGCUAGCCCGUCAUCCAAACCCUGGCUCAGCUGAGACUCAUCUCACACUUUCGGCUGGUAAUUGGCUCUGAUACCAUCUGUGACACCCCGACUUCCCAGGGGGUCACCCAUCCUAGGACUACUCCCGUCCUAGCACGCUUAACUCUCUUAACCUCUUGGGUCUAGCUACCAUCCAAAAUGCUU
RNAcentral lists this long non-coding RNA (1828 nucleotides) under Ananas comosus (pineapple). RNAcentral describes it as "long non-coding RNA (ACOM_LNC029701)". The record is from RNAcentral. Lineage: Eukaryota; Viridiplantae; Streptophyta; Magnoliopsida; Poales; Bromeliaceae.